Molecule: ribosomal RNA, 497 nt
Filed under: uncultured bacterium
Lineage: Bacteria
Description: partial 16S ribosomal RNA
Rfam family: Bacterial small subunit ribosomal RNA
Source: RNAcentral
GAUGAACGCUGGCGGCGUGCCUAAUACAUGCAAGUCGAGCGAACAGACGAGGAGCUUGCUCCUCUGACGUUAGCGGCGGACGGGUGAGUAACACGUGGAUAACCUACCUAUAAGACUGGGAUAACUUCGGGAAACCGGAGCUAAUACCGGAUAAUAUAUUGAACCGCAUGGUUCAAUAGUGAAAGACGGUUUUGCUGUCACUUAUAGAUGGAUCCGCGCCGCAUUAGCUAGUUGUUAAGGUAACGGCUUACCAAGGCAACGAUGCGUAGCCGAACUGAGAGGGUGAUCGGCCACACUGGAACUGAGACACGGUCCAGACUACUACGGGAGGCAGCAGUAGGGAAUCUUCCGCAAUGGGCGAAAGCCUGACGGAGCAACGCCGCGUGAGUGAUGAAGGUCUUCGGAUCGUAAAACUCUGUUAUUAGGGAAGAACAAAUGUGUAAGUAACUAUGCACGUCUUGACGGUACCUAAUCAGAAAGCAACGGCUAACUACGUG